AACGAACGCUGGCGGCGCGCUUAACACAUGCAAGUCGAACGAGAAGGCGUAGCAAUACGCUUGUAAAGUGGCGAACGGGUGAGGAAUACAUGGGUAACCUACCCUCGAGUGGGGGAUAACCCGCCGAAAGGCGGGCUAAUACCGCGUACGCUUCCGAUCUUGCGGGAUCGGAAGGAAAGCUGUCCCAAGGGGAUGGCGCUCAAGGAUGGGCUCAUGUCCUAUCAGCUUGUUGGUAGGGUAACGGCCACCAAGGCAUCGACGGGUAGCUGGUCUGAGAGGACGAUCAGCCACACUGGCACUGCGACACGGGCCAGACUCCUACGGGAGGCAGCAGUGAGGAAUAUUGCGCAAUGGGCGAAAGCCUGACGCAGCGACGCCGCGUGGGGGAUGAAGGUCUCGGAUUGUAAACCCCUUUCGGGAGGGAAGACGGCCUUAGACAACUAAGGCGGACGGUACCUCCAGAAGCAGCCACGCUAACUUCGUGCCAGCAGCCGCCGU
Molecule: ribosomal RNA, 498 nt
Filed under: uncultured bacterium
Lineage: Bacteria
Description: bacterial SSU rRNA
Rfam family: Bacterial small subunit ribosomal RNA
Source: RNAcentral